UACGAAGGGGGCUAGCGUUGCUCGGAAUUACUGGGCGUAAAGGGCGCGUAGGCGGGUCGUUAAGUUAGAGGUGAAAGCCCAGGGCUCAACCCUGGAAUUGCCUUUAAUACUGUCGACCUUGAGUAUGGCAGAGGUGUGUGGAACUCCGAGUGUAGAGGUGAAAUUCGUAGAUAUUCGGAAGAACACCAGUGGCGAAGGCGACACACUGGGCCAUACUGACGCUGAGGCGCGAAAGCGUGGGGAGCAAACAGG
RNAcentral lists this ribosomal RNA (252 nucleotides) under uncultured bacterium. RNAcentral's name for it is "partial 16S ribosomal RNA". It matches the Rfam family "Bacterial small subunit ribosomal RNA", at positions 524 to 776 of the family's 1533-position model. The record is from RNAcentral.